GAUCCUGGCUCAGGACGAACGCUGGCGGCGUGCUUAACACAUGCAAGUCGAACGAAGAGCGAUGGAAGCUUGCUUCUAUCAAUCUUAGUGGCGAACGGGUGAGUAACGCGUAAUCAACCUGCCCUUNAGAGGGGGACGAACAGUUGGAAACGACUGCUAAUACCGCAUACGAUCUAAACUCGGCAUCGAGGAUAGAUGAAAGGUGGCCUCUACAUGUAAGCUAUCACUGAAGGAGGGG
Molecule: ribosomal RNA, 238 nt
Filed under: uncultured bacterium
Lineage: Bacteria
Description: partial 16S ribosomal RNA
Rfam family: Bacterial small subunit ribosomal RNA
Source: RNAcentral